Molecule: ribosomal RNA, 1578 nt
Filed under: Triticum aestivum (bread wheat)
Lineage: Eukaryota; Viridiplantae; Streptophyta; Magnoliopsida; Poales; Poaceae
Description: partial small subunit ribosomal RNA
Source: RNAcentral
ACCGUGGACGGUGUGCUCUGUGAUAGCUUCCGUGAGGCUGCCGAGAGAUUGGGCCUCAUCGAGGCCGACAACACGCUUGACGAGUGUCUUACAGAGUCAACACAGUUCGCGAUGCCAGCCUCACUCAGGAGGCUCUUUGCAACAAUCUUGGUAUUCUGCGAGCCAGGUGACGUGCGCGGUCUAUGGGAUAGGCACCUAGAGGCGAUGUCUGAUGACUACCGCCGAUCACACACGUGCUCAAAGGCAGUGGAACAGAUGGUGUUGCUUGACAUUAGGGGCAUGCUACAGUCCAUGGGCAAAGACAUAGCGUUGUUCCUUCUUCCGGACAUCGACGAGACCUAUGACACUACUGGAGGCGAGGCCAGAGAAGUCACCGAGGAGUCAUCCAUCGAGGUUGACGCGAACGAUGCUGCUUUAGCGUCCUCACUAAACCCUGAGCAAAGGCUUGCAUACGACGAGAUACUGGCAGCAGUCGAUGCUGGUGAUGGGGGUGUAUUCUUUGUCGAUGGCCCAGGAGGCACCGGGAAGACCUUCCUAUACAAGGCACUACUCACAAAGGUUCGAGGCGAGGGCAAGAUCGCGGUGGCUACGGCGACGUCAGGCGUCGCGGCUUCCAUCAUGCCUGGAGGAAGGACAGCCCACUCGAGGUUCAAGAUCCCACUCAGCAUUGAAGAUGGGGGGUCGUGCAGCUUCACCAAGCAAAGUGGAACAGCCAAGCUCCUGCACAUGGCUUCACUCAUCCUAUGGGAUGAGGCCACCAUGACGAAGCGGCAAGCGGUUGAGGCACUGGACAAUAGCAUGCGGGACAUCAUGGGACGACGGGACCGACCAUUCGGGGGAAAGACUGUCGUGUUCGGUGGGGACUUUAGGCAGGUGCUUCCGGUCGUCAGGAAGGGGUCACGAGGUCAGAUAAUCGAUGCGACCUUGCGGAAUUACUUGCUAAGGGUAGGCAACGACACCGAGGAAACCGAUGAGGAAGGCAACAUAAGGCUCCCUGAAGAUAUUUGUGUGCAGCCAACAGAGGACGGCGUUGACCUAGAGAAGCUAAUCGACCAUGUAUUUCCUGCUCUAGACAACAACAUGGCUGAUCCAAAUUACAUGACAUCUCGAGCGAUCCUCUCCACCAAGAACGACAACGUUGAUAAGAUAAACACACGCAUGAUAGAGCGCUUCCAGGGCGAAGAGAAGAUCUACCACAGUUUUGAUAUUGCAGAGGAUGAUCCACACGGCUACUAUGCCCCAGAGUUCCUGAACAACCUGACUCCCAACGGGCUGCCUCCGCAUGCGCUCAAACUGAAGUUAAAUUGCCCCGUUAUACUGUUGAGAAACAUUGAUCCAGCUAAUGGGUUGUGUAACGGCACAAGGCUUGUGGUCCGGGGUUUCCAAAGGAACGCCAUCGAUGCAGAAAUCGUGCUAGGACAACAUGCUGGUAGGAGGGUGUUCCUUCCUCGGAUACCUCUCUGCCCAUCCGAUGACGAUAUAUUCCCUUUCAAGUUAAAGAGGAAGCAGUUCCCUAUUAGGCUCAGUUUUGCCAUGACAAUCAACAAGGCGCAAGGGCAGACCAUCCCGAUUGUCGGA